UCAUCCUUCAAAACCCAGCUCGAGUGCCUU
RNAcentral lists this non-coding RNA (30 nucleotides) under Rattus norvegicus (Norway rat). Lineage: Eukaryota; Metazoa; Chordata; Mammalia; Rodentia; Muridae. The record is from RNAcentral.